This 217-nucleotide ribosomal RNA is filed under the name uncultured bacterium. RNAcentral describes it as "partial 16S ribosomal RNA". It matches the Rfam family "Bacterial small subunit ribosomal RNA", at positions 328 to 539 of the family's 1533-position model. The record is from RNAcentral.
ACGCUCGACACCUACGGAGGCAGCAGUGAGGAAUAUUGGUCAAUGGACGCAAGUCUGAACCAGCCAUGCCGCGUGCAGGAUGACGGCUCUAUGAGUUGUAAACUGCUUUUGUACGAGGGUAAACGCAGAUACGUGUAUCUGUCUGAAAGUAUCGUACGAAUAAGGAUCGGCUAACUCCGUGCCAACAGCCGCGGUAAUCUGAGCGGGCUGGCAAGGC